RNAcentral lists this transfer RNA (86 nucleotides) under Hyphomicrobiales bacterium. RNAcentral's name for it is "Rhizobiales bacterium (soil metagenome) tRNA-Leu". It matches the Rfam family "tRNA". From Rfam's summary of the family: Transfer RNA (tRNA) molecules are approximately 80 nucleotides in length. Their secondary structure includes four short double-helical elements and three loops (D, anti-codon, and T loops). RNAcentral also lists the same sequence under 3 other names. Lineage: Bacteria; Pseudomonadati; Pseudomonadota; Alphaproteobacteria; Hyphomicrobiales. The record is from RNAcentral.
GCGGACGUGGCGAAAUGGUAGACGCAAGGGACUUAAAAUCCCUUGGGGGAAACCCUGUGCGGGUUCGAGUCCCGCCGUCCGCACCA